Molecule: long non-coding RNA, 4132 nt
Filed under: Homo sapiens (human)
Lineage: Eukaryota; Metazoa; Chordata; Mammalia; Primates; Hominidae
Description: HSALNT0407672
Source: RNAcentral
CAUUAUAUGCUAAUUAUAAUACAUUAGCAUGCUAAAAGCCACGCCCAACAGCACCAUGACAGUUUACCAAUGUCAUGACAAUGUCAGGAAGUCACUCUAUAUGGUCUAAAAAGGGGAGGAACCCUCAGUUCCUAGAAGCACACAUCCCUUUCCCAGAAAGCUCAUGAAUAAUCCAGCCCACGUUUAACAUAUAAUUGAGAAAUAACUAGAAGUAUCCUUAAUGGAGCAGUGCAAGCCACUGCUCUGCCUAUGGAGUAGCCAUUCUUUUAUUCCCUCACUUUCUUAAUACAUUUGUGUUUACUUUAUGGACUUGCCUUGAUUUCUUUCUUGUGUGAGAUCCAAGAACCCUCCCUUGGGGUCUGGAUUCAGACUCCUUUCUGGUAACAUCUUUCUGGCAAACCACUAAGGGAUUAUACUGAAAUGACCCCCGACCCAAAGGAAAAUCUUCUGUGUGCAGCACCACUUGGCCAACUUUGGGUAAGUGAGGCGCAUUUAACUCGGUAAAGAAUGGAAUUGGGUUAGAGACCCAACUUAGAAAAGUUAGAGUCUGCCCUAAGAUAGAGAGGGUUAAAGACCCCCUCUUAAUAAAAGGCAAGGGUGCUUGACUGAACCUGUUUGGGGCCCAACUUAGGAAGGUUAGAGCCCUUCCUAAGAUUUAUGGGGUUGGAGGCCCCUCUCAGUAAAGUUCCUCUCGGCUAAAAGUGGGUUUGGCACUACUGGAUGUUAACUGCUAUUUUCUUUGGACUUAUCUGCCUUGCACUCUUUGCUGAUGGCUACGGGAGACAGAAUUAAACAUAUUCAGGAUCAAAGGACAUGGCGAGCUAUUUUUCCCCAAAAGGGAGACACUCGAGAGCUGAUGGGACUUCUGGGUAAGAUCCGUUUGUGACUGAAAAGCAGCUGCUUGAACUUUUGAUUAAGUCUAACUGCAGUGGGUGGGUCUUUCUCUGGCCUCCCUGAGUUCCUCACCUUCCCCACUCUGCUUCAGGCAAUGCUUUUCUCUCUUUCUCUUCUUUCCCUGUCCUAUCUUUUCUGUCAUUCAGGGGAACCUUCUUGCCCAGAGAUCGCAUGUUGAAAAAUGUCCUUGGGAGCUUUGUCUUGGUCUCUGCCAUAUCUUGUAUACAUGUGGUGGUACUUUCUCUUGGUCUCUGCCAUCCAGGGAAGAGGAAUUUGGGGGUACAUGUCAUAGUUAUCUCUGAAAAUUAAAUUGAGCAGUUAAAAGCCAAUGCAAUCUCAAAAUUGACUGCUCUAGUCUCCUGGGAAGAGCAAUAAAAUAUUUCCAAUUCUGCAGCUUAGCAGCUAAGGCUUUGUGUUUUUCCAGUGGUGGCACAGGUUCAGGGUUCAAUUCCUGGCUUAGGGAAUAAGCCCUUUCUGGUUUGAUAUCUGCAUGACAUUUACCAUUUGUUGAUUAUCUUCCCCUCCACAAACCAUGUUGAAUUUUUCUUUCUUUGAGGACAGAAAUAUUGGCCAUUUGGCCUGGCUAAAUUUGGGUAAUAAGAAAUUUAAAAGGAUCUUUUUAAAAAGAGUAUUACAUUUAAAAGUCAGCCUAAUUAAAAGAGGAUAUUCAAGCUCUAAAAGCCUGGGACUCCUUGUGAACAACAAGUAGUGCCACAGACCUUGUUUUGGGAAAAAACUCUUUUUUUUUUUUUUUCUCAUGAAACCCCAGGAACCAGAAGUGGAGAGAUCCCUUCACAAUCUAAGGCUCUUUUCUCUUUUGCAUUGCAUUAUCAGGUGUUUUUAACCCUUGGGGGGAUCAGAAAUUGCUCCACAUUAUAAUAGAACUUUGGUGUGUAAUAACUGGGUAGGAAAUAUGCUUUGGGGAAUAGCUAAUGACAGUUAAAGGUGAAUACUUGGCUUUUCACAUGUUUGGAUCAGAGGAGCAUGCUCUUGGCCACCUAGAAGGUAUGGCAAUGUGCUCAUCCCUGCCCCACACUGAGACCUAAGACUCCCAUGGAAGAUGGGGUAAUCACAGAGUAGGUUGAGUGGCUUUGAAUUGCUUUGCAGUGAAAUGCACAGUAAAAUCAUUGCACUGUCUUGUUCUGUAGCAUUUGUCUUUUUUGGGAUUUAAGAUAUGAUAUAAAAUGGGACCCUUAAAUUUUGGGGGAUCUUUUUUGCUUUCCAGCUCUGCCUAUUUAUUAAGCCAUAGAAACUGCAUGUUUUCCUGGCCCUGUUCCUCCAAGGGCUCCACCCUGAAGCAGUAAUCUGAUUAAGAACCUGGCAAAUAAAAAAUCUUAAAACUACUGGAACAUUUCUGUCUAUGUAUUUAUAUGUGUUGUGUGUGUGUGAUAUGAAAGAGCUUUGAUUGUUUUCAAAAAUCAUAAGAGCUUAAAUCUAACAUUCUAUCAGAAAAUAAAAACGAAUGAAUGCCUUUUAGUCCAUGUGACUUUAGUAAAGUUUCAGAAAUAAAAACAGUUUUGAAGAUCAUUGGUAAAAUUCAAAUGUCUUCAAAAUUCAGACAUUUGGUCUGAAGUAGGUUAAAUAUUAAGUUUGCUAGAUGUGUUAGGGUCAUAAACGGCUUCUUUGAUUUUUGAAAAUUGUUCAACCUACUUACUUUGAAGCAGAUUCUAGGUAAAGCCUGGGGAUAUGUGGUGUUAGCCAUGCCUCCUAGUUAUGCUGGAUAGUCAAACCUUAUCUGCACUUCUUUCUGUGUCCUAGGCUCCAAAGGUAGUACAUAGUUAAAAUCACCUACAAUCCAGGUUUUUCCACCAAUGGUUCCUAAGAGUUCUUUCUUUAGGCUGUAUUUGUGAAUAUAUGUUUUUGGUAGGUGUUCCAAAAUUAUUAGAAACUUCUGUAACUCUGAUAUAACUUAGUGUAUGCUAUUAAUAGUUAUAAUAAUUGUUAUGUAAAAUUGUUGUAUGCCACAGAAGUCACCAAAAUUCUUAGUCAAUUGUGGCUUUAAUAGAGACUGCCCUAAAGUGUUUUGUCAUCCAGGGACAAUUGUUGCCUUGUUUUUUUUUUUUUUUUUUUUUUUUUUUCUUUAGAGGUGGUUUCAUAAUCAGCUACAGAACUCUAAUAGGUGUUCUUAAAUGCAGGUUUCUGAUAAAUUUGGAGAUUUUGAUGUUAGAAUAGAAGAAAAAACUUUCAGGAUCUCCUGGAGUGCUGAAAUGUUCACGAAUAUCAGGCAGAACAGGAGUUAACAACAUGGACUGGACUAAUAGAAGACUAAAGUAAUCUUUUUGACUUUUUGCUUAAAAGGAUCCUCUGUUUUGUUUUUCAGAGCCAAUAAAACUUUUCUUUUGAGUGAUUUGCAGCUUUUAACAAACUGAACCUGCUUAUUUCUGUGAACCAACCAGUGAUCUCUUAUGGCUGUUCAAAAGUAACAAGAGAGCAGCAACAUGGAUGCAGGGGGAGGCCAUAAUCAUAAGGGAGUUAACACAAGAAGAAACAACAAAAUUCCACAUGUUUUCAUGGAUAAGUGGGAGCUUAACACUGAGCAUGGGAACAUGAACAUGAACACGAGAAAUAUAGACACUGUGGACUCCUAGAGGUAGGUGGUAGGGAAUGGAAUGUUGGUUGAAAAACUACUUAUUGAACGUUAGGCUCACUACCUGGGUCCAAAAUUGCCAUGUAACAAUCCUACACAUGUAACCCCUGUAUCUCCCUGUAUCUUAAACAAAAGUUGAAAUUCGGAAAAGAAACUGCCUUCACGGUAUCCCUUAUGUGUUGCUAUAUCGUGUUUUCAGUUUCAUUUGUCUCAAGAUAUUUCAUGAUUUCCCUUUUUUGAUCCAUUGCUUAUUCAUGUGUGUGUUGUUUUGUUUCCACAUAUUUGUGUAUUUUCCAAUUGUCCUGUUGUUAUUAAUUUCUAGAUCCAUCUUAUUCUGAUUGAAAAAGAGGUUUGCUAUUAUUUCAAUCUUCUUAAAUUUGUUAAGACUUGGUUUGUGGUGUAACAUGUAACUUGUCCUGGAGAAUGUUCCAGGUGUGCUUGAAAAGGAUGUCUAUUCUGCAAAAUGGAUAUGCAAAAAUGGCUAGCAUUCCUAUACACCAACAAUAGGCAAGCAGGGAGCCAAAUCAUGAUUGAACUCCCAUUCACAAUUUCUACACAAAGACGGAAAUACCUAGAAACACAGCUAACAAGGGAAAUGAAGGACCUCUUUAAGGAGAACCACAAACCACUUCUCAAAGGAAUCAGAGAGAA